This 28427-nucleotide long non-coding RNA is filed under the name Citrus x clementina. RNAcentral's name for it is "Citrus clementina (C. clementina) long non-coding RNA (CCLE_LNC002911)". Lineage: Eukaryota; Viridiplantae; Streptophyta; Magnoliopsida; Sapindales; Rutaceae. The record is from RNAcentral.
AUUUUAUGAAAAUUGAUUAUCUCAUUGGAAUUACAUAGAUAUUGGAAAACAUUACUCCAGCCCCACCAUCCCAACCAUUUACUUAGUUCAUCAGUAAAAGCUGGAUUUUCCAUUUGUUCUUGAGAUUCAAAUUAAGGCAACAAGUUGCUCAUUCUAUAUUAUCUAUGUAAUCCUGUAAAAGUGAAGGGCGUUUAGAUGUGGAAAAACCUUACUCCUGCCGCAACACCUCAAACAGAUUGUGAUCAGACAAGACUUAGUUCAUCAUUAGUAGUAGUUGGAGCUUCCAUUUGUUCUAGAGAUUUAAAGGCAGCAAGCUGCUUCCUCAGUGCUACUAAUUCUUCCCCGGCAUUGCAUAUGUAGCCUGAGGCUUGUCUACCAGACAAAGUUGCUCCUUCCAUACUAUCUAUGUAAUCCAGUGAGAGUGAAACCAUUUAGAAGACGUAUCUCUUUCUUUCCAAUAUUUAGAAUGAAACAAUUAUAUACAGUUACCUGUUUUGUAUAUGAGCCGACGAGGAAGAAGUUCUUCACUGGUGUCUUUUGAUCGUGUCUGAAGGAGUCUUUACCAGGUCCCUCACCGCACAAAGAUUGCCCGAUUUUGACAAAAGAUGACCAAAUAACUUCUAAACCUUGGGAUGAUGGAAAUAGAGCUAAAACCUAAUAAAAGGAACCGUGAAUGGAUAGUAUGGACUCAUGUAUAUUAUCCAGAAAGUUGCAUGACCUUUUGUGGUACUCAGGUCACUAAAAAAUGUGAGAUAAACAUCUAGGAUAAGAAAAGCAAAAAAGCAUAACCUAAUACGUAUUAUAUGAAUUGAAGGUGUCACUGAACACUACCAACCUGCUUUGCCACUCUCCUUAUGAUUUCAUCAUUUGGUAAGGGCAUAUAAGGAUCUCCAGGUGUCAAAAUGAAUCUGAAAUAUAAUAUGGCUAUAGUAAGCAACACAGAAUACAAAGACACUUAGCAAAAGGAAGCCAAUCAGAUUCCAUGCACAAAAAAUAACUAAUAAUGACGAGGAUAAGAAAUUUUUCUUACUGGAGCAAUGAACCUUGCCCUUCUCUGUAGUAGUCUUCUGGUGAAGUGAGUGCUAGAUCUGCAAAGCAAGAUAAAUCUGCAUCUGGAGUAUAUGAAAGGUUAUCUAACCCCACAGCUUGCCUCAAUUGUCUACAUGUUCAAAACAAGGAUCUGUUAAAAAAUGGAAAUUUCUUCAAUGCAUUAGUAAAGGGAAGUGAAGUGAAAGCUGAUUUCUUAGGCCUUCACAGAGCAUCAUGUGUUUGAAUUCCGGUAACCUCACAAAAGAUUAGAGCAUCACCUUGACCGUUCUAUGUCUUGCAACUCAGUAACCCAACCAUUGUAUCUAAGCUGCACUGUGACAACAGGAACUCCAACUAGCUCAUAAAUAUUGUUGAAAAAUUUCAUUUCCCUCCACGAUGAUGGAAGCAGUCUUUUAAUUCCAGGGACAUCACAUGCGGCCAUUAAAUAAGAAGUUGAAUAAAGAAAAAUCGUUCAACUAAAUGAUUCAGGAGUUAAAAAAAAAAAUGUAGAAGUAGAAAUAAAUAACGAGGAUUUAACCAUGAACCUGCAACAUAUGCAUCAGCUUGCACAACCUUCUUGUCAGUGGCCUGAAAUAGAAUGAGAAAUUGAAAGACAGUAAGCAUUAAAGAAUAAACUCAAAGAAGCUGCUUCUAACAGAUGAUAUAAACAAUAAAUUUACAAAUGUCAGAUCAUUGCAUUAGCUCUAUGCCUCCAUCAGAGGGAAUAUUAAUAGAUGCAUAAAAAAAUAAUUAGAGCCACAUGUGAAACAAUUUACCUUAGACGUAGCAGAUUUAUCAUAAAGUAUCUCUCUGCAUCCCCACCUAAGAUGGAACCUGUUCUCACAAGAACAGAUCCCAAGGUUGGGAAAAUCAGUUCAUCAUAGGAGAAAACAAAGAAGAUUAACAAAUCACUACAAUGGUGUGAACCCGUAAAUACAAACGUACCUGCCCCCUUUAUCUGUGAUAUAUUUUCUUAUGGGCCCACUCAAAUAAACAUCCGGAGAACCCUUGAGCAUCAGCAAUAGGGAAGCCUCAGUCUUAGUCGCAAACAGUGCAAAUAUAGUAAGCAUACAACGAGCACUGAUGUUAUCACAAUCAAUAAACCCAAGGGCAUACGAAACAGGAUCCCACAUUCUUUGGAACCCUUGGACAAAAACCAAUCAGAGAAGCUUAUCUGUAAGAAGAAAUGAAGUUUUAGGUAAAAUAACAAUCUGUAGGAACAGGGAUUGAAAUUCAACAAACAAGAAAAUAUGAUGUCAUUCUUACACUAUCCAAAUCUCAUAUGUCCUUCAAGGCUCCAUCAGGAUCAACAAGUGCCUUUACAACAGCACUCAGAGCAAGAGCAAGAGCAAGAGCAUUUCUUGCUUUAUCAUAAGUCUGCACUUGAGCAAUUUACGAGGCAAAGUACAUCAAAAGAGAAUCCAAAGGAGGCAAGAAGCUUCAACAUGAAAAAAGGAGUGCUGCCUCAUCAUACUGCUUUGCAAUCACAGUGCAAAAGAUAACAUCAACAAAAUCAAAAUCUAGCAUAAAUCCAUAUGCACUACCUUAAGCUGAUUUGUAGACAAAAGACCCGUUUGGGGCAGCUGCGUGGCAAACGGGUCUUUUGUCUACAAAUCAGCUUAAGGUAGUGCAUACGGGUCCAAAAAUGCGUGAAUCCCAUGUAACGGAGCUCCAAUCAGAAACCCGAAAUCAAGUUCUGGAGUUGAAAAUCAAAAUCAUGAACCAAAUCAGAGUUAUUAUUGAAUUAGACAAUCCAUAAACCAAUAGAAGGUAAAAAAAAAGGAAUAAAAAUUCUUCUAAAUUCUUUCACCAUCAACAAAAUCAGUAAAACACAUACUGAUUCAAAAUGACAUAAAGUUUGUGAAUUGAAAUAAUGCCAACUCCUAAGAAAAAUUAUGACUGCUGAUAUUUUUUCUGAAAUGCUGAUAAAAGCUUCUGCUAUUUACUUUGAAAAAAUAGAGGUUAGAAGCCAAUUUACUUGAAAUUUUGAGUUUAGGCAAGAGGAUGAAUGGCAAAAGUGAAACAUUUUAGGGAAAAAUGUACUUCAGAGGCCAAUGAAAGCAUUCAGAAGAUUGAAAUCUAAAUAAGCAAAACCCCGUGGCCUUGAUCCAACAAAUCCACUGCUGUUGACAUGCCUGCAAGCCCAGCUCCAAUAAUAGCCACUUUCAGCUUUGGUCCUCUAUAAUGUUCCGGUUCUGGUAGAAACAAACCCUUGGGAGCUGCCAAGUAUACCAUCCAAUUAUCCACAGCGAUAAUGGAAAUAUAUAUGUGUUUAAAGGUACUAAAUUCCUAAACAUGAAAUGUAUCCAAAGAGAGACACAAAGCAGAAUUGUGCAAGCAUUUCAAUUCCCAAUAAAUUUUAAGAAUACAAAAUACUCGGUCUGUUCCUCAAUUCCUUUAAUAAAAUUUCCACUAGAGGCUACGGAAGCCACUCAAUAACACUCCAAAGCCAGAUUUUAAAAGUUAUCUUUAACACAAAUUCAAUUCAAAAUUGUUCAAGUGCACCGCCACUUCUCCAUCAAUUCCCUCAAAAAUUCAUAAUUGCCAAACACUACAAACCAAAAAGAGCUUCCAGCAAUAAACGCAUAAAAAUCCACCAAGCAACAUAAAACAAAAUACCCAGAAACCAGAAAAGCCAAACGAUCAAUGCUUGGCAAACAAGCCAAUCAAAUAAAACAAAAAGAAGAGAAAUUUACCAUUAACGCUCAUAUCAGAAACAUUAGUGUCCAAAGAAGCCCGUACACAGAAUCUUGGAUCCUUCACUUGAACCCGAGACCAUGUAACGCCAGUAACUGAAGUUGCAGGAAACAGAACUGAAGAACCCAUAUUGCAAAUCCUGAGCUGAAAUCAAAGAAAUUCAAUUGGAACUCAAUUCAGCUCAACCGAGCGGAGCUCUCUUUUGCUUCAAUAACAAAGUGUUUUUCUUUCAUAUCAACAAAGAUUUGUCAACAUCAACAAAAUUUAACUAAGAAACUAAAAUAAUGCAGUAUCUUUGAGUUUAAGAAUCUAACAAGAUGUUAAGGAAGAGAGUUUUGUCAGGGAACUGUUUCGGAGAGGUUGGCCAAGUGCAUUUUUGUUUUUUUCUUGUUUUGCCCUUUUCAUUAAUGCACAACAUUAGUCCACGUGAAGAGCACAAAAUGCUGGUGGCUUUGUCACUAACGAUAAUGGAUGGAGUGUCCAAAGCAACCAACUAAAUUUUAAAGAGAGGGAAUGAUAAGUAAUAUCUUAAUGGGGUGAUUAAUUAAUUUAUUAUCAAGCAAUUGUAUUUAUUUAUUUAAAAGAUAUCCUUAUCUUUGUACAAGGUUUGAGGAAAGACGACGAUGUUGUGUUGUCACAUAUUUUUACGUUUCUCCAUAAUUCACUGCAACAUCAACUGGGCCACCACCUCUUGCCUCUCCUGGUUCCCCUCAAUUUUCGUAUUCAAUGUCCACCGUUGAUUGUACAUUUAUUAAAAUUCUGUGGUUAUUGUUUUUUUGCAUACAUUUAAUUCCACACGGUCUAUGGAUAGAGCAGGUGCAUCGUAGUUGUGGCCUUAACUGUUAUUGGUAACUCAAUAGCUAAUUCUAAUGUUUCAUCAAGCAGUUUAGAGAUAACCUCUCUCGCUGAACUCCCCGGAGUAACGCAAUCCAGUUUUCCAGUGCAAUCAUCAGACAGUUGAACAGCUUCUGAAUUCCCUUUGCUUUUCUUGUUUUCUUUUCCAUGUAAAGGGAGCUCAGGCUUCAAUAUAUCUGGGGAUUGAGUUCUAAUGAUAAAGACAACAUACGGUAGAGGACACAAAUUGUUAUUAAAGAAUGACGCACUUUUCAACUGAGUACAGUAAAGCAAGAAUGGGUAAUUAGUUUUACCUGCAACGUGAAAAUCUAGACUCCCGACGGUAACCGAUCUUUGGUGAAGCAAAUAAAGAAGAAGGCGAAGUAAAAUUCACUGAGUUGAAUGAGCGAUCAUUGUGUAUGGACUUGAUUUGUUCAAUAGGUGAAAGACUGCUGAUAUAAUUAAAGACUGGAGAAUCCUGCACGUUGACAAGCAUCAUUUUUAAUAUAACAUAGAGUCUUAAAAACCUAGUCAGUGGCAAAUGAUCACGACAAGCAAAAUGAAGUACAAACAGCAGAGCUCAACAAAUCAUUAAGAGAAAAUAAGACCAUUAACCAAGCAGAUAAAAGAAACGCAAAAUAACCCAUCUCAAAUCACCGCAUGCACAAUUUAAGGGGGCUGUUACAUGGGUUUAAGCAUGAUUUAACAAGUGCCACCAGUGAAUUCUCAAAGAUUGAAUUUUCAUACACAUGCAAAUUUCCAAGUCCAACGAAUUGUUGUCUUUCUGAAGAUAUUAACGAUGCAUAGCAUACUAUAAACAAAUCAUAUUAUUAGGGCCUUUCUUUGCUGUACACAACAUAUGUACAGAGGAACAAAUCCAUGAGCUGAAAUCAUCAUAUUCCAAAAUAUUCUACCCAAUCAACACUACAAAACCCUAACGCUAAACAGAAUUGGAGCAAUUUACGAAAGCUAUUUGUCACACAAAGCACUAGUACCUCAGAACCCAAUUUGCAAAAAAGCAACAAAAAUGAAAAAUAACAAAUGCCCAGAUGCAAAAUCAGGAAAAAAUGCUCAAAUCCAAACUACAACCCCAUAAGCUGAGAUUGACCUCAAACUUGGAAACAGAAGCGACAGUGAUCUGUUUCUUAUCUGGAGUGUCCAUUUCUAUAAUCUACUUUGUCCGUUUUCAGUCGCUCCGCCACAAAGCCUCUUCACUCCGAAGCUGAAACUCGCCACACACUUGCAAAACGAAAGCAUUUGAUCGAUUGAGAGGCGGGAAGGCGGGAAAACGAGAGAAAUUUGCUUUUGUUUUUUCUUCGUUUGGUCAUACAUGUGCGGGCCCCAGGUUCACAAGCGUUAUUAUUACUAUUUGAAGGACGCGUGUCAUGCAAUGGCGAGACAAAAAGUGGUGCAAAACUCCAAUGGUCACGAAAUGACGAUAAAAUAAAAAUAUAUCGUUAAUUUUUCACUUAACAUUGGAAUAUCAUAUAAUUUUAAGGUCAUUUUCUCGCCGUUACGCCACAUUCUUUUGAUAAAAUAAUAUGGUAAAACUUUUCUAUAAUCAUGAUAUUAGAACCUAAUUAACUUUAUAUCUAUAAAGAGGUUAUAGCUUAAUAAAGCAAAAUUGUAAAAAAUAUUAUUUUGACUUAAUUAUCUAAAGAGUAAAUAUAUGAUAAUUAAUUAAUAAAUAAUGUCAAAUACAAUAUAUGGACUAUAAUAAAAAAGAUAGACAUAAUUUCAUAAAAUUAAUACAUAUGUUUUUGUAGUGUUGCGAUUAUACAAAGUUAUCUUAAAAGUGUAAAGAGUAAAGUAUUAUUCUAAUUAAUUUUAAAAAAUAUUUUAUUAUUAACCUUUAAUGCAACAUAGUAAUUUUUUUUCCCUAGCAACAAAGUAUUGUUCCAAAUAAUUAUUAUUGGAUCUAGAUCCUGCCCUAGGCAUUUUCUCUACUAAUCCUCAUAAACUUUUAGGGUUUGUUUGGCACGUGAGAUUAGAUUGAACAAACUAUUAUGAUUGGACUAAAUUAGAAGGGAUUGGAUUGGAUUGGAUUGGAUUAUAUAUAGUGCUGACUUAUGUUUGGUAUUGUAUUGGAUUAGAUUAUGUUAAAUUAAAUUUACAUAAAAUUAAAUAGUAUUUACAUUAAUAUUUGAAUUUAAAUAUAAACUAUUUAUAGAUAUUUAACAAGAAAUAUUGUAAUUAAUUAAAAAUAGCAAUUGGGUAGUAUAAUAAAGAAAUAUAAAUUAUUUAAAUUAUAGGUUAUUUCAAAGAGUGAUGAAACAACCACAAAUUCUUGUACAAACUGAUCUUAUACAAACUGAUUUGGCAUUAAUUCAUUGAAUGAAAAUAUAAAAUAAUAAAAAUAAAUCAUGUGGGCCCAAGAUAUAUUUAAUUCAACCAAUUUUAUCAUGACACAUCAAUUUGUACAAGAAUUUGUGACUAUAUUAUUACUCUAUUUUAAAUAUGAGAGAUAUCAUUUCAUUGAAUAAAAUAAAUAAAAUUAUUCAAAUAAUAAAUUAAUUAAUAAAAUUUAAGUAAAUCAUGAAUAAAAAAGAAAUUAAUUAAUUAAAAACAGUAAAUAAUUAAAUAAUUUUUAAUUUAUAAAUAAAAUGGUAUAAUAAAUUAUGGAAGAUACUAUAAAUACACAAAUAUUUUUUUCACAUUAUCUAGUUCUAACUAAACACACAUAAAAAUUAGGAUUAGCAAUCCCAUGAAUUUAGGAUUAAAAUUUGAAUUUAGUCCAUUAAUCCAAUACAUGUGAGCAUGUCAAAUAUGGUAUUAAUAUUUUAUCGCAAUAAUAAGUCCAAUUCUACACUUAAUCCUACCUCCCAAAUAUAACCUUAAGGAUCUAUUGACAUGUGUCAUUAAUGAAAUUAAAUGGCUAAGAUUUUGUUUUAAUUAAUUUUUACCUAAAUAGACAUCAAAACUCAUGUGUGACUCUUGUUAAAUUUUUUCUUACAAAUUCUUUUCCUCUUAAUUCUUUAUAUUUUGACAUUGAUUUCCAGCAAAUUAUUAAAAAAAAGGAGCACAAAUUGAAAAAAAGUGAUUGACAACAAGGUUUGCAUCUUAAUUUCAAAAUUUUCCUUUCUUUGAUGUUUUUGUGGGUUCUAUAAUUUUGGGCGGGUUCUUAUGUAAUGUUACAAUUAACAUUAGAUUAUUUUCACGGUAUAAGGCAAAUCUUGAGAAUGAACCCAUUUCAAUAUGGUUUCCACAAUAUCAGGAUCUUCUUCUCUGCUUCUAUACGUUUAAAUAAGCUGUUUGCCCUUCCUGAUUCACUUUCCUCAUGAAACUUCAGGCCUAAUUUAUCUGCUAUUUCUCCUUGAAUCUCUCGUAUGUUUUUAUUAUGGGAUACCUCAUCUCCUUGAAUCUUUCGUAUGUUUUGAUUACGGGAUACCUCAACAAGAACUACCUGAUAAAAGAGUUCACUCUUGACUUUCCUAGCAACUUCUUCCGCCAGCUUCGUCUUUCCGAUUCCGCCCAUUCCAUAAAUCCCAAGCAUGUUGACAUUGGGAUUUUUUAAUGCAUCCAUUAUGUCAUUCAGAAUGGGCGCUCUUGAUACAAAGGCCUCGUAGUCUUUGUUAGGGAUAAGCCGAAUAUCCUCUGCAGCAGUACGGUAGGAAAUUCUAUCAAAUCUUCUAGCGUCCCGGACUUUGACAAUAGCCUCUUUCAACGUCACUGCUUCCAUGCUAAGUCGACGGCGGGUCUUCAAAUUAGGACACAACCCCUUGAAACAACGCUUAUUUGCUGCGGCUUCAACUUCUGUAAAUUUAUCUGCCUCUUCAAUGACUUUGUUGGCCCCUUCAAGCCAACUCCUAACGUUCUCUUCAAUUUCUUCCCCGUUUCGUUCAGCCUCAUCAACCUGGUGCUCUGUACUCACCCUCUCAGACUUCAGAUUGUCAACUUCUGCCUUGAGAUUCUGUAAGUUGGUAGUGUACUUACUCUCACGCAAAUAGCUAAUUUCGCGAUAUGCGGGAGGAACCAAGCACUUCACAACUUCUACAACAAUAGUAAGAAUGAUUUCAGCCAUCUUCAGUCCUUUGUCCUUGUCUCUCUAUCUCUCUUUUUCUGAAUUUUUGAAAAACAAUUGACUACUUAGGAAGCACACUGAGUGAUUGAACACAAGUGACCACAACAAGAUGGAACAAAAUAAAAAGGAAAAAAAAUACAAAGAGUGGAAGGAGAAUAAAACAGAGACAGCGGCACAGCUGGACACAACUAGAUAGAGAACAGAGCAAAACCAAAUAACAAGACUUAAGAUUACAACAAACAGAGGCCAAGAAUUGUUGAGAUCAGGAGAUGGAAAAUUCAAAAGAGUUGAUGGCAGAUGCUGAAUAACAGAACAACAAUAAACGCAAUAAGCAGAAGCAAAGUGUGUUUGAAUGGAAAGAAAGACUGAUAUUGAAAAUUGAUGUCAAUAGCGAAGGAAUAAUUGAACUUUCGCUGAAUUAUUGUUUGUGGCCUUCUUUUACUUUUUAUUUGUGGGUCAUGUCUUUUGGAACUAAUCAUCUUAGGUUAUGCCUUAUAGCUUUAAGGCCGGUAAACCGGUGUCCGUUGGAUUAGCAUAUAGAAAUCCAACGGUGGAUAUAUAUACUUGGAGAAUAAAAUUCAAGAGCUAAGGGAGUGCUGGGCUGCAGUUUCUUAAGGAGAUUUAUAUAUCCUCCUCAAAAAUAAAUGUUUUAAGGUAGAUAUUUAGACUAUUUCAUCAUAAAAUAAAUGUAAUUAAUUUUCAAUAAAUAUCUUAUAUAAAUAUUUAUUUAUUUUUUUAAUUACUAAUGACCUUUGAAUAUACAUAUAUAUACAUAUCACUUAUGUAUAUACAUAUCACUAAUUCAAAAAAUAAAUUGUGAUUAUUUGUUCAUGUAUGCGAUUACUUGUGAUGGGAAAUAAAAUAGAUAUGGUAUAUUUUGAAGUUAAAUUAAAAAAAAAAAAACAGAGCUUUUACCAUUACUUGCCUUAUCAUCUUUUAAAUUAGAGUUAUUAUUCUUUUAUUUUUCAAGUUGCCAACUCAUCCGCAUUCUCUUUUAUUGAAUUUGAAGAUCAAUGAUUAUAAAUGUGUGUAAAAAUUUUAAGUCAAAACUUUAAAUUAAAAUAAUCUUUAAGUUAUUGAGAAAUAAUAACUUAGUAUAACAAAUAUUAUAUCCUAUACUUUAUUGCUACAAAAUUACGAAACCUUAUAUUAUAUUAUGUUUCCAUAUUUCUCCUUUAUAGUGAAGACUCAUACUUCUUCUCUAUUAAAUGCUAAAGUAUUGGCUUAAAUUUUUUAACCAGCAUAGUAGACCCUUAAGCUAUAUAUACUAUAAUGUCCCUCUUCUCUCAUAGAUUAAACCAAUCUGAUCUCGGAGUGAGUUGAUACCAUGACUUUGCAUAAUUCGUGAUCAAAGGAGCAUCAUUAUUAACUAAUAUAGGCUCCAUCAAUAGGCAUGAUAAUAAUUUUUUUUAUAUACAAACACUGUUUUUCAAAAUAUUAUAUCUUAAGACUUAACUAAAUAUUUUGUAACUAUGUAGAUAUAGUUUGUUUGAUCUCUUUUAAAUAGUGGAGAUUACAAACAAACAUAUGCAAAUUAGUAGUGAUGUUGAGUUUAGAAGAUUGAAGUUAAGAAAAUUAAGGGUUUCUUGAUCUAGAGAAAUUUCAAAUGAGUGAAGUGUCCUUGAAAUCGGAAGACGAAAAUAAGGAAAGGGUAAGGGUGUAUUUUCAAAGUGAUUCUAUUACGAGAUUUUGAAGUAGGGGUGGGCAAGUCGGGUUUUGGUUCGGGUUGUUCAAGUUUCGGUUUGGGUUUCAACCCAAUCGGGUUUGGGAAUUGAAUCCAAUCGGGUUGAAAACGCCAACCCAAACUAAACCGAACCGAAUUUAAUUCAGCUUGGGUUCAUAAUUCGGAUUGGUAAUUCAGGUUAAAAUUUCGGUUCGGGUUAAUUUGGGUUAGAAUAAUUCCAUCUAAAAUUUUGGGUUAGUUUGGUUUAAAACAAAUUGAAACAAUUUAAUCCAAAAAUUAUACCAACAACCACUUAAAAUCCAAAAAUCUCAAUUCCAAACAUCCUUAACAACAAAUAUCAACUACAAACUAUCCUUGAUAACAUUUCAACAAUAACAAUAACAAUAAUAACAACAACAACAAUAAUAAUAAUAAUAACAACAACUAUGAAUCAGCAAUUCAGCAUAUUGCCAUAUUCUAAAUUUAAAAAAACACACAAAUUAUGUAAUUAAUUAAUUAACAAUCUCCAAUUUAAUUUAUAAUAACAACAAAAAUCCUCUCCAAUUUAAUUAAUAACAAUCUCGAAUUGUUCAAUUAUCAGUCAACAACAACAAACCCACUCCAAAUAAUUGAACAAUUGUUAAUUAAUUAAUUAAAAAUAUCUAAUUUAAUUAAUAACAACACCCAAGAGCAAGUCAGCAAUAAACCCACUCAAAAAUCCAAAUAUCAGUAUAAAUUAAGUGUCAAACCUUGAUCGGUGGGAAGCUACAGCGUCGGCAAAUUGUGACCGUGUGGGGCUGAGUAAGACCGUCAACCGAGGGUGUGAGAAGGGAGAAGAGGGAGCAGGGAGGUAACGAUGUGUGUGUGAGUUUAUAUAUAUAUAUAUAUAUAUAAUUUUUAAAACCUAAAACUUAAAAAAAAAAAAAAUUAACCCAAUCCAAACCGCCCACCUCAUAUUACUUCCGUUAAGAGAUGGAUCCCACACUCAUGAGCCUUUGUCGUCCCAGUCAACUAUAAAAACAAAUCAUUAUUGAGUGUGAACAGACUUAUUGAUCACCCAAUUUUCAAACUUGUCAUCCUUAUUGUAUCUGCAUCCCCUUUUGAAAAAUUUUAAAAAAAGUACAAAUAAUGAAACAAAGUUUUGUUCCUUCAACAGUUGAUAGAGUUACGCGGCUUGGACUUGCAAGUGCUGUCGGCAUUUUCAAACUUGUAAGACCCUUCAACUUGCUUUCCAAGAUAGCUAUAAUUAAUAAUGACAACAGUCUCCCUCAUAGCGACUAGUGAGCAACUGAAAUUAACGGCAUCUUCUCUCACAUUUUUAAAAAAAUUGAAUUAUAUAACCCACCAAAACUAUAAAGAAUUGUUAGUUUUUCUUCAUUAAAAUUAAUAUAUUGCUCCUCAUAUUAAAAAAUCAAAAUUCAGAAUAAGAAUGAUUGGUACUGUUUAUUUACUAAAAUGAAAAUAAAAUAUAUGAAGCCUACAUAUUUUUGAAAUUAAAAAACAAGAACUUUAUUUUCCUUGGGGAGUGUUGGAAAUCAAGUUCUUGUUAUUUAAACUCUCAAUUGUAUCUCACCGAAAUUUCAUAAUUCUACUUUUGUCUUCAAUUAAAAUAUUAUUAUAGUUAUUAUUCUUAUUUUUGUAGUUGUUGUUGUUUUUUUUUUUUGGUCUUAUCCACGAGGUAUCCUGGGGAGGGCCCCAACUGUGGGAGGCACCUUUAAGCCCGUACCACAACCCAGACUAGAAGUCCCCGCUCGAACCGGGAGGCACAGGUUCUCCCAACAAAGGCGACUUCCCUGCGACUCGAACUGGGGAGCAAACCCAGUCAAGCCACUUAAGGGGACUCCAUUGCCAGUGGAGCCAACACUUUGUUGGUUGUUGUUGUUGAUUAUGAUAAAUGGUCAGGCAAAUGAUUCAUUUACUUAUUUUUUUCCUUUUAAAUUUUUGUUAUUAAGAAGAUUUUUGGAUAUUUAGCGUGAAGGUCUCAACUGAUCGCUAAUUUCACAGCAACUUCCUUUUUUUUUUCCCUCAAUUGUUUUGAAAAAAUAUCAAGACUCAUUCAGCAAAAUAUCCGAGGCCAAAGCGCCAAAAAUGGGACAGCCACAUGCACUUCUAAUUACAAAAUCUAAAGUUAGGGUGUCCAUAACUUACAUUUAAUAUAAUUUAUAAUUAGGUAAAAUUCAUUCAUUGACCCAGUAAUUUUAUUAUCCUAUUACUUAUAUUUUUAUAUUAAAAAAUUAGUAAGUAGGAAAAUUCUUAAAAGAUAAUGAAGAAGGAAAAGAAAAAGAAAAAGUGUAAAUGAACUGUAUUCACAUAAGUUUCAAACAUGUGAUUCAAUCUGAAUUGGCUUUUUUCAAAAGUAAAUACAAAGGAAAAUAAAAAGAAAAAAGCAAUUAAACGAGACUAAAAUCUGUGGCCUGUGUCAUUCAUAUCUUUUGACAUUUCUUUUAUAGCGGUAUAAAGGGUAGAUAUUUUGAAGUGAAAAGCAAAGCCUUUACUAUUACUUGCCUUAUCAUCUUUUAAAUUAGAGUUAUUAUCCUUUUAUUUUUAAGUAGCCAAAUUAGAGUUAUCAUCCUUUUAUUUUUAAGUAGCCAACUCAUCCGCAUUAUCUAUUAUUGAAUCUAAAGAUAAAUGAUUAUAAAUUUCUCUGAAGAUUUUAAGUCCAAACUAUAAAUCAAAAUAAUCUUAUUGAUUAAGUUAUUGUAUAAUAAUAACCUUAGCAUGACAAAUAUUAAUUCUUCUCUAGUAAAUGCUAAAGUAUUGGCUUAAGUUUUUUAACCAGCACAGUAAACCCUUAAAGCUAUAUAUGCUAUAAUGUCCCUCUUCCCUUACAAAUUAAACCAAUUUGAAUUUAGAGUGAGUGAGUACCAUGAGUUUGCAUCAUUACUAACUAAUACAGGCUCGAUCGAAUUCAUCAUACGAAGUAUAUUAUCGGCUGUAGGUAUGGAAAUAAAUUUUGUAUCCACAAACACUAUUUUUCAAAAUAUUUAAGACUUAACUUAUCAUUUUUUAACCAUAUAUGCAUAGGUUGUUUGACCUAUUUUAAAUAAUGGAGAUUACAACAAAUGAACAUAUGUGGAUUAGUAGUGUUGUUGAGUUCAGAAGAUUGAAGUUAAGAAAAAGGUUUCUUGAUCCAGAGAAAAUUCAAAAGAGCGAAGUGUCUUCGGGAUCAGAAAACGAAAUAAGGAAAGGGUAAGGUUAUACUUUCAAAAUGAAUUUGUUGAGAGAUCUUUGAAGAUUAUUUUCAUUAACAAUUAGAUCCCACACUUGAGUCUUUAUCGUCUCAGUCAGUCAGUUAUAAAGACAAAUUAAUUUUGAGUAUGAAAGGACUUUCAAACUUGUGACCCAGUUAUAAAGACAAAUUAAUUUUGAGUAUGAAAGGACUUUCAAACUUGUGACCCUUCAAGCUUUCUAUGACAGCUAUAAUGAAUAAUUACAACAGUGCUACCUAAUAGUGAGCAACUUGUUUGAUGAAAUUAACAACUUCUUUUCUCUCAUGUAUUUUUAAAAAAAUUGAAUUAUCAAAGCUUUUAUUUCAAAAUUAGUGCUAUAGUUCAUUAAUUUUUCAAAUUUUCCUUUUUUUUUCCACACAACAGAUUGAUUUGCCCUCCAAAAACUGUAUUAGAUUGUUUAAUAUUGUAACUUCAAAAAACUUAUAAUAAAUUUUUAAAGAGAUAAAUAGGGAAUGUCAGUCUCCCAUCUACUCAAAAUUAAUAUAUAUCAUUAACUCCUGAUUAUUUUUAUAACAACUAAUAACUUUCUGGGCAGCAUAAUUUUACAGUAUCAUCCUUGUUUGUAAGUAUAUUUUUUUUCACAUUUAUUAUAAAUUAAUUAAAUCAUAUCAAUGAAAAUUGAAAUAGAAAUUGAAGUACUAAAAAAAAUGUUUUGGUGUGAAUAAAAAAUUGAAAAUAAAAAUAUUUUUAUUAUAUUUUUUUAUUUUUAAAUGGUUUUCUUAUAAUAAAUAUAUAUUUUAUAUUCUCAAAUUGAAUUAUUGAGUAAAUGACUCAUUUACUCACUUUUUCUUUUAAUUUUGUUAUUAGGAGGAUUUUUAGAUAUAAUGAAAAUUGUAAGGUAGUAAGUAAUAUAAAAUAAUUUUAAUAGAGAAAAAUAAAAAAUCUGUUAUUUUAAAAUAUAAGGAGAAAAAUAAUUAAUUUCAAGAUAUUUUAGAAGAUAUUUCAAAUUUUCAAUAUGCGGUGGACUAUAAACUCGAGUCUUUGUCGUCACAGUCAACUAAAAGGACAAAAUAUUGAGUGCGAAGGGCUCAACUGAUUGCUAAUUUCACAGUAAUUGUGUUUUUUCUUUCUUUUUUUAAUUAUUGGGAAAUAAUAACUUAGUAUAACAAAUAUUAGAUCCUAUACUUUAAUGCUGCAAAAUUAUGAAACCUUAUAUUAUAUUAUGUUUCCAUAUUUCUCCUUUAUAGUGAAGACUCACACACUUCUUCUGUAGUAAAUGCUAAAGUAUUGGCCUAAACUUUUUAACCAGCACAAUAAACCCUUAAGUUAUAUAUGCUAUAAUGUACCUCUUCCCUCACAGAUUAAACCAAUCUGAUCUCAGAGUGAGUUUGCAUCGAAGGAGUAUCCUUACUAACUAAUAUAGGCUCGAUCAAUAGGGAUGACAAUAAUUUUUUUAUCUACGAACAUUAUUUUUUCAAAAUAUUAUAUCUUUAGACUUAACUAAAUAUUUUUUUAAUCAUAUAUGUAUAGUUUGUUUGAUCUCUUUUAAAUAGUGGAGAUCACAACAAAGCAAAUGCUAAUUAGUAGUGAUGUUGAGUUCAGAAGAUUGAAGUAAAGAAAACUAAGGGUUUCUUGAUCCAGAGAAAUUUCAAAAGAGUGAAGCGAAAAGUGAAUUUAUUGAGAGAUCUUUGAAGAUUUACUUCCGUUAAGAGUUGGAUGUCACACUUUUUGAGCCUUUGUCGUCCCAAUCAUUCAAUUAUAGGAUCCCUAAGCAUAUAACUUACAAUUCUUUCAUAUAAAUAAUGAGUAGUGUGAACCCAUACAACUUACAACCUUCUCACAUAAAUAAUGAGUAGGUCUAAACUACUCACUAUUCAUAUAAAAAAAUUAUAAAUUAUAUACAUGUAACUUAACAUUAUUCUCCUCUAUAAAGACAUAUUCUUAUUGAGUGUGAAUAGACAUAUUGAUCACUAAAUUUUCAAACUUGUGAUCCUCAUUAAAUGUGAUUCCCCUUUGAAAAAGAAAAAAAAGUGCAAAUAAUGAAACAAAAAUCUGUUCCUUAACAGCAAGUGGUGUCGGCGUUUUCAGACUUGUAACAAGGGAAUGAGAUCCUCUCCUGAACCCGGGUCUCAUUCCCUGUGAAACAAAAAAAGUGCAAAUAAUGAAACAAAAUUCUGUUCCUUAGCAGCAAGUGGCGUCGGCAUUUUCAGACUUGUAAAAGGGAAUGAGGUCCUUUCCUGAACCCGGAUCUCAUUCCCUGUGAAACAAAAAAAGUGCAAAUAAUGGAACAAAAUUUUGUUCCUUAACAGCAAGUGGUGUCGGCAUUUUCAGACUUGUAACAAGGGAAUGAGAUCCUCUCCUGAACCCGGAUCUCAUUCCCUGUGACAAGACCCUUGUCACCCUUCAACUCGCUUUCCAAGAUAGCUAUAUUAAUCGUGACAACAUUACUCUCAGUGAGCAAAAGUUAUCAGCAUCUUCUCCCCAUUUUUUAAAAAAUUGUAUUAUAUAACCCACCAAAACUAUAAAGAGUCUUUUCUUAUUAAAAUUAAUAAAUUACUCUUUAUAUUAAAAAAUUAAAAUUUAAAAUGAAAAUGAUCUGAUGUUUAUUUAUUAAAAUAUAAAUAAAAUAUAUGAAGUUCAUAUUUUUUAAAUUAAAAAAUAAGAACCUAAUUUCAUUCCUUAAAUUCCCAAAUUUACCUCACAAAAAUUCCAUAAACUUACUUUUGUCCUUAAUUAAAAUAUUAUUAUGUUAUUAUUAUGGUUAUUAUUCUUAUUUUUGUAAUAGUUGUUGUUGUUGUUGAUGAUGAUAAUACAUGAUAAUAAAAUUAAUAAUAAUAAAAAUAAUAACUAUAAUUUUAACAAUAGCAGUAAUAAUCAUUAAUAUUAUUGUUGUUGUUCUUAUUUUUAUUCUUAUUCUUAUUAUUAUUAUUAUUAUUAUUAUUAUUAUUAUUAUUAUUAUAAUAAUAAUAUUAUUAUUAUUAUAAUAAUAAUAAUAAUAUUAUUAUUAUUAAAUAAUAAUAUUAUUAUUAUUAAAUAAUUAUUUUGAAUAAUAAUAAUCACAAUUAUUAUAACAAACGACAAUAAUCAACUAAGGUAAUUUUAAUAACUUGUAACGAUUCAUUUUAUUCAAAGAUAUGUGAUUAUUUGUUAAUGUAUGCAAUUACUUGUGAUGGUAAACAAAGUACAUAUGGUAUAUUUUCAAGUUAAAAAAGAAAAACAAAACAUAGUUUUUACCAUUUCUUGCCUUAUCAUCUUUUAAAUUAGAGUUAUUAUUCUUUUUAUUUUUCAAGUUGCCAACUCAUCUGCAUGCUCUUUUAUUGAAUUUGAAGAUCGAUGAUGAUAAAUUUGUGUGAAAAAAUUAAGUCAAAGUUUUAAAUUAAAAUAAUCUUUAAGUUAUUGGGAAAUAAUAACUUAGUUGUAAUAAAUAUUAUAUCCUAUACUUUAUUGCUACAAAAUUACGAAACCAUAUAUUAUAUUAUGUUUUCAUAUUUCUCCUUUAUAGUGAAGACUCGUACUUCAACUUUUUAACCAGCACAGUAGACCUUUAAGCUAUAAAUGUUAUAAUGUCCCUCUUCGCUCAUAGAUUAAAACAAUAUGUAGCCUUCUCUCAUAUAGAAAAACUUUUUGUAUAAGACAAAUUAUUAUGUUAUAGGAAAAAUUACAGUAGACGUAAGCCAUAUAUGUUAUAAUGCUCAUAAGUUUGAAGUUAAGAAAAUUAAGGAAAGGAUAAGGGUGUAUUUUCAAAGUGAAUUAUUAAGAGAUCUUUAAAGAUUACUUUCGUCAAGAUCUGGGUUCCAUACUCUUGAGCCUUUUUCGUCUCAGUCAACUAACAAGACAAAUUAUGAUUGAGUGUGAACCGUCCGACUUAUGGAUCACUAAAUUUUAUCCUUAUUGAAUCUGCGUUCCCCUUUGCAAAAGUAAAAAAAAAAAAGGUGCAAAUAAUAAAACAGAAUUGUUGGCAUUUUCAGACAUGUAAGACCCUUCAACUUGCUUUCCGAGAUGGAAAAUGCUACUCAGCGAGAAUGCCGAGAGAAACGGCAUACAGUUUCUCUCGGCCCCACUCCACGUGAAGACUUUCUCUUUUCACAUUUUUUACGCGUUUCUCUUUUCUCUCCCCCCACGUGAACACUUUUGCCUUUUGCUCGUUCACGUGAAAGUCAGUUUAGAAUUUUGAUCUUAUUAAUCAUGACAAUUGACAACAUUACUCCCACCGAGCAAAAGUUAACAGCAUCUUCUCCCACAUUUUUUUAAAAAAAAUUGUAUUAUAUAACCCACCAAAAGUAUAAAAAGUAUUUUGUUAUUAAAAUUAAUAAAUUACUUUUUAUAUUAAAAAAUUAAAAUUUAAAAUAAGAAUGAUUGAUGAUGUUUAUUUAUUAAAAUAAAAAUAAAUUUUAUGAAGUCUAUAUAUUUUUUAAAUUAAAAAAUAAGAACUUAAUUUCUUAUGAACUGUAUUCACUACUUAGUAUUCUUAAAAGCUAACGGAGAAACCACUCGGCUCAGCCCGAGUGGCUAGGGCUGCUGCCCUCCAAGUUGGAGGGCAGCAGUUCGAACUCCCACAAAAGUAUUGUGGGGGUAUUUUUUUCUUCAAUUAAUUUGAGUGAAGGUAGUCUUCUCUCUUACCCAUGAGUGAGGAGUAGACAUCCCUCGAAUAUUUGUGAGGGUCAAAAUCUGAGCAGAGCUCCAUUAGUAAUUAUGUAAGUUGGUCUCAGUACUAGUCUGAUUUGUAAAUAUCAGUUAUAGUCUCAUGUAUAUGAGUUGUAAUCUGAGCAAUAGUCUCAUGUAAUAAAAAAAAAAAAAAAAAAAAGCUAACGGAGAAGGAAAAGAAAAAAAAAAGUGUAAAUGAACUGUAUUCACCUAAGUUUCAAACAUGCGGUUCAAUCUGAAUUCGCUUUUUUCAAAAGUAAAUACAAAAGAAAAUAUAAAGAAAAAAAUUAAACGAGACAAAAAUCUGUGGCGUGGGUCAUUCAUAUCUUUUGCCAUUUCUUUUGUAGAGGUACAUAGGGUAGAUAUUUUGAAGUGAAAAGCAGAGCCUUUACUGUUGCUUGCCUUAUCAUCUUUUAAAAUUAAAGUUAUUAUUCUUUUAUUUUUAAGUAGCCAACGGAUGGUAGCCAACUCAUCCGUGUUCUGUAUUAUUGAAUUUAAAGAUCAAUGAUUUAUGUUAAUAAAUAUUUUGUUAACUAGCAAAGUUUUUAUUUCAAAAUUACUCCUAUAAUUCAUUAAUUUUUCAAUUUUUCCUUUUUCUAUUCACACAACAGAUUGAUUUGUCCUCCAAAAAAAUGUAUUAGGUCGUUUAAUAUUGUAACAUCAAGAAACUUAUAAUAAAUUUUUAAAGAGAUAAAUAGAGAAUGUCAGUCUCGCAUCUACUCAAAAUUAAUAAAUAUACCACUAACUUCUUAUUAUUUUUAUAAUAACUAAUAACUUUUUUAGCAGUAUAAUUUUAUAAUAUUAUCAUUGUUUGUAAGUACAUUUUUUAUUUAUAUUUAUUAUAAAUUAAUUAAAUCAUAUCAAUAAAAAUUAAAAUAACACAAUAAGUUUUGGAGUGAAUAAAAGAUUGAAAAUAAAAAUAUUUUUCUUAUAUUUUUUGUUAUUUUUAAAUGUUUUUCAUAUAAUAAAUGUACAUUUUAUAUUCUUAAGAUGAAUUUUGAGUAAAUGACUCAUUUACUCAUUUUUUUCUUUAAAUUUUUGUUACUAGGAGGAUUUUUAGAUAUAAUGAAAAUUGUAAAGUAGUAAGUAAUAUAUAAUAAUUUUAAUAGAGAAAAAUAAAAAAUCUCUUAUUUUAAAAUAUAAGGAGAAAAAUAAUUAAUUUUAAGAAAUUUUAGAAAAUAUUUUAAUAUGCUGUGGAUCACACCCUCGAAUCUUUGUCGUCUCAGUCAACUAAAAGGACAAAAUAUUGAGCGUGAAGGCUCAACUGAUUGUUAAUUUCACAGCAAUUACUUUUUUUAUUCUUUCUUUGUUUUUCCUAAUUAUUUUGAAAUAGUAGGUAGCAAUUGCUUACAUCAAAAUAUCUAGACUCACUCGGCAAAGUAUCCGACGCCAAAAUGUCAAAAGGUGGGACACCCAUGCAUCUAAUUACAAAGUCUAAAGUUAAUGAAAAGAGAAAAAGAAAAAGUAUAAAUGAACGGUAUUCACCUCACUUUCAAAUUUAACUGUUGGGUCUUCCUACUAUGCACCUGGUGUAUGCAUGAUUCCUUGUGACAUGACAUACAGCCAAUUAAAUUCUGACAUACUUGCAAUAAGGUCUGUUAAAGUGACCGGUUAUUCCAGUUGAAUUCACAAGAUCUCUUGUUUGCGUGUUUAUGUUCCAAGUUGUGUACUCUGUGUUGCGAGUUCUCUAAUUAGUCUGAAAUUAUCGCAACUGUUAGCUCAAUAAUGUUACAGGUUUUAUAAUAUAUGUCACUGGUAUGAUCGCUGUCACAAAUUUAGAACGAAAAGUUUCUAAUAAAAUAAGUUAUUUAAUUAAUUAAAUAAGAAUAAAAUGAAUUUAAUUUUGAAUUAUUUUGACCAAAAUUUAAGUUUUUUUUAAAUUUGUUUAAAAAAAUGCGUUGUAAUUGUCUUGUUUUAAUUGGAAAAUCAAUGAAAAAAUUAUGUAACAGACAAAAAAAAAAAAAGCAAAACGGCUUGUUUUGGAUGGUGGCCAUAGAUUCCAAUAUUUCCUUCACGAAAACUACAAAAAAUUAUCAAAGGCAUCAAUUUCUACACUCUCACCGAGCAAUACUCUUAACCCAGAAGGAAGUGUAUAAACCAACCCCAAUCAGUCCAUCAAUGUCGUCAACCUCAUACAUCAUAAAAAAAAUCUGUAUCCAUUAAACCGCCAUUUAAACCGUCUUUAUUGAGCCAUUAGACUAUUCGUGUCAUCUUAGCAUCUCGUUGUAAUAUUUUGCCGUUUAAAUCUAGUUAUCAAUGGGAGAAAAUGGAGACCAAUCUGCAAGUCUUUAAAAUAGAUAGGAACUUUAAUUGGGCACUAUGUUCACGGUGGUGGACCCAGCAGUAUUAAUCUUUAGGCAGAGCUAUUUGUAUUUUAAAAAUUAUUUUACACACUCUAAUUUUAAUUAGAAUAUAUAUUACAAAAAUACUUAUCAUAUAAGUUACUAGACAAUAUAUUAUAAGUCAACAUUAUAUAAUUACUUUGAACACUUAUAUAGCACAAUCUUUAUUUAAUUUUUUAUUCUCAUGACUUAAAUAUAAAAAAUUUUAUUUCCAACAGAUGAAUAAUAAAGAAAUUAACUUUGAGAAAAAUUUAAAUACAAAAUAUGUGUAAUACUUUUAAAAAAUAAAAUAAAACAAAAGUAUUGCACAAUAUAUAUUUUUUUUUGGGGGGCUUUGGCCAUUCUUCUUCUUCUCCUUCUCUCUCUCUCUCUCUCUCUUUGGAUAGUAUUUAUGGAACAUUUUCUAUUGUUAUGUUUAAAGCUGUUAAAAUGAGUCAUCAGGUCGUGUUUGUGUCGUGUCAAAUUUAAGUCGACCCAUUUAAUAAUCGUGUCAAAAUAUUGAGACCCAAACCCAACACAAAAAAAUAAUCGGGUUACUCAAUAACCUGCUUAAUAUCUAUAUAUUAAACAAAAAUUACAUCAAAUAUUUACACAUUAUCAUACAUACAUAUGCGCAUACAUACAUACAUCCAUACAUACAUACAUAAUUUAUCGAUAUUAUAAAAUAUAUAUAUGUACUAAAAUAUUACACACACUAUUGAGGUUUUAAUUAUAUAUAUGUAAAUAAUAUUAUAUAUCAAUAUUAUAAAAUAUAGAUGUCUACGAAUAUUUUAUACAUUUAUACUAUUAAAGUUCUAAAUGUAUUUAAAAUUUUAUAAAUAAAAUAUUGCGUCUAUAUUCAUCCUUUUAAAGAAUUAAAAAAAGAAAAUAAUCUCUAAUAUUUGAGUUUUGAUGACAAGAAUUUACAAAUUAUUUUAAAAUAAAAAAUAUAAUCAGGUCAUUGAUCGGGUAAAUAGGUCAAGAAUUUUAAUCCUAACCCGAUACGAAAAAAAAUCGUGUUGACCUAAACCCGGCCCAUUUAAUAAUCGUAUUAAAUUCGACAACCCAUACCCAUUUAUUAAUGUCGUGUUCGUGUCAGGUAAUCGAAUCGUGUCAAAUUUUGCCAGCUCUAGUUAUGUUCUCGUCGCAAGUUAUUUUGGGUCCAAAUACAAUAUUAAAAAUAAAUUAAAUAAAAAAUUAGUAACUAAAAUUAUGUUAAAUUAUUUUUUAUAACUUAAAUUUUAAUUAUAUUAUUGUGAGUAUAUUACUAAAUCUCUUAAAAAUAGAGUGUUGAAUAAUUUUAUUAGUUUUUUAAAUAAAUAAAGUUACCCAAAUCGUUUUAUUAUCACAUUAUUUUCCAUAAAAAAAGUUUACAAUUACCUCUUUAUUGGACAAUUUUGUUCCUUCUCUUACCUUAUGUUCCCUUACAUUCUCAUUUAUGCAUCACCAAGUUUGCUAUAAUGUACGUGAAGAAUAGUUAAAGAGCUCUUUCGUGUCCUUACCCUUUUUUUUGGGUUUACUUUUGCUGCCUUUUUACGUUUCUCCAUAAUUCACUCCAACAUCACUGACGCAUUUUCUUCUUUCUCACUGCAACAUCAACUGGGCCACCACCUCUUGCCUCUGCCGGUUCCCCUCAAUUUUCGUAUUCAAUGUCCACAGUUGAUUGUACAUUUAUUAAAAUUCUGUGGUUUUGCCUAUAUUUAAUUCCACACGGUCUAUCGAUAGAGCAUGUGCAUCGUAGUUGUGGCCUUAACUAUUAUUGGUAACUCAAUAGCUAAUUCUAAUGUUUCAUCAAGCAGUUUAGAGAUAACCUCUCUCGCUGAACUCCCUGGAGUAAUGCAAUCCAGUUUUCCAGUGCAAUCAUCAGACAGUUGAACAGCUUCUGAAUUCCCUUUGCUUUUCUUGUUUUCUUUUCCAUGUAAAGGGAGCUCAGGCUUCAAUAUAUAUAUCUGGGGAUUGGGUACUAAUGAUAAAGACAACAUACGGUAGAGGACACAAAUUGUUAUCAAAGAAUGAUGCACUUUUCAACUGAGUACAGUAAAGCAAGAAUGGGUAAUUAGUUUUACCUGCUAAGCGAAAAUCUAGACUCCCGAAGGUAACAGAUCUUGGGUGAAGCAAAUAAAGAAGAAGGCGAAGUAAAAUUCACUGAGUUGAAUGAGCGAUCAUUGCGUAUGGACUUGAUUUGUUCAAUGGGUGAAAGACUGCUGAUAUAAUUAAAGACUGGAGAAUCCUGCACGUUGACAAGCAUCAUUUUUAAUCUAACAUAGAGUCUUAAAAACCUUGUCAGUGGCAAAUGAUCACGACAAGCAAACUGAAGUUCAAACAGCAGAGCUCAACAAAUCAUUAAGAGAAAAUAAGACCAUUAACCAAGCAGAUGAAAGAAACGCAAAAUAACCCAUCUCAAAUCACCGCAUGCACAAUUUAAGGGGGUUGUGACAUGGGUUUAAGCAUGAUUUAACAAGUGCCACCAGUGAAUUCUCAGAGAUUGAAUUUUCAUACACAUGCAAAUUUCCAAGUCCAACGAAUUGUUGUCUUUCUGAAGAUAUUAACGAUGCAUAGCAUGCUAUAAACAAAUCAUAUUAUUAGGGCCUUUGUUUGCUGUACACAACAUAUGUACAGAGGAACAAAUCCAUGAGCUGAAAUCAUCAUAUUCCAAAAUAUUCUACCCAAUCAACACCACAAAACCCUAACGCUAAACAGAAUUGGAGCAAUUUACGAAAGCUAUUUGUCACACAAAGCGCUAGUACCUCUGAACCCAAUUUGCAGAUGAAAAAUAACAAAUGCCCAAAUGAAAAAAUCAGGAAAAAAAAAUGCUCAAAUUCAAACUACAACCCCAUAAGCUGAGUCGUUCUCUUCAAACUAAAUUUAACACUGAAUAAAAAAAUUAAAAAAUUAAAAUGGGGAGAUUAACCUCAAACUUGGAAACAGAAGCGACAGUGAUCUGUUUCCUGUCUGGAGUGUCCAUUUCUAUAAUCUACUUUGUCUGUUUUCAGUCGCUCCGCCACAAAGCUUUUUCCCUCUGAAACUGAAACUCACACACACUUGCAAAGCGAAAGCAUUUGAUUGAUUGAGAGGCGGGAAGGCGGGAAAAUGGAAGAAAUUUGCUUUUGUUUUUUCUUGGUUUGGUCAAACACGUGCGGGCCCCAGCUUGACAAGCGGUUCUAUUACUACUGUAUUAUCUACAUGACGCGUGUCACGCGAUCUCGAUAGAAAAGUGGUAAAAAAUUCUAAUGAUUACCCAAUGGCGAUAAAAAUAAAAAUAUAUUGUUAAUUUUUUACUUAACAUUGGAAUAUCAUAUAAUUUUAUGGUUAUUUACUCGCCGUUAUGCCAUAUUCUUAUGAUCAAAUAAUACAGUAAAAUUUUUCUAUAAUCAUAACGUUAGAACCAAAUUAAUUUCACUUCUAUAAAAAAAUUAUAGCUUAAUAAAAGUAUAAUUGUAAAAAUUAUUAUUUUAACUUACUUAUCCUUAGUACAAAUGAUGUAAAGUAAAAUAUAUGAUAAUUAAUUAAUGAAUUAUGUCAAAUACAAUGUACGGACAAUGAUAAAAGAUAAUUCAAGUGUGACUCUUAUCAAAUUCUUUUCCCCUCAACUCUUUAUAUUUUGACGCCGAUUUCCAACAAAUUAUUGAAAACAAAGGCAAAAAAUGGAGAAAAGUGAUUGGCUACAAGGUGUGCAUCUUAAUUUCAAAAUUUUCUUUUUCUUUGUUGUUUCUCUAGGUUCUAUAAUUGUUGUUUUCGUGGUCAAUUGCAAUUCAAUGAACUAAAUUAGUAGUAAAUUGCUAUUACUGGGCAUAUAAUUCUAUUGCUGCAAUUUUACUACUGUUUAGCUUUUUUUUUUUAGUUUAUAAUUGCUGUUUUGUUGUCUUUUUUAGGUUUUCAACUGUAGUUUGCUGUUUUUCUAGGUUCUAUAGUUGCUGCUUCGGGAAAAAUAAGAAUAAAUGUGAUCUUGAAUUAUUUAACUCUUAUGAAACAUCUUUAGCUGUUGCAUUUUUUCACUGUAUUAGUAUUGGCGGGAUGGAUGUUGAAUAGGGAUGGCAAAGUCCAUAUCCGGAUCUAAAUUGAUAUUUCUAUAUUCGGAUCCGCAUCCGAAUCUACACAUUUUUUUUUUUUUCGCGAAUCUGGAUGUGGGUAAUCUUCGUAGGGAUUGCAAGCAGAUAUCAUGGAUAUCUAGGUCCGCAUAAAUUAAAAUUUAAUAAUUUAAAAUAUAAUUUAAAAUUCAAUAACUUACCUAAUAAUAUCAAGUAAAAUCCAAUUAUAAUUUAACAAUCAACAAUUCAAUACCUAAAAUAACAUAUAACAUCAUUAAGUCAUAAAUAAAAAUAUCACAAUAUAAAUCAAAAUAAAAAAAAAACAUAAAUCUAAGUUUAGCACCACCACAAAUUCACGAAUAAAAUUAUAAAAACACCACAAAUCCAUAUAAAAUAAUGUGAAUUCCGAUAUAUUUCUUAAUUUAAUUUUACUUCUAUAUUUUUUAGUAAUCCUAUUAUCUUUUUUCAUUUAACUUAUAUAUUUUUCAUUUAAUUUUAAUUUAACAAAUAAUUUAAUUAAAAAAUAAGAUGGAUCCAGAUCCGGAUUUGGAUCCUCUUGGAUUCUAAAUCUUAGGAUCCGAAUUUAAAUUUUUUUAAUAUGUAUAUCUGAAUUCUAAAUCUUUGCGGAUCUGAACCAGAUCCUGAUAUUUUUACCAUUCCUAAUGUUGAAAGGGCAAUAAUUUGUGGGAAAAUAAUUUGACAAGAGUCAUGCAUGAGUUUGGAUGUUUGUAUAAUGUAAAAUUUAUACUUAAUAUGAUUGAAAUUGAGACUAAAAUAUUUUACCUAAAAUUCACUAGCUAGCUUUGCCUUGAUGGGCCUGUGAUCGCCCAUACAUAUUUCUUCAAAUUUAUUAAUAUUUUUGUGCAUAGCAAUUAGGGAUAUAUGACAACAAAUUCUCAUUUUUAGUGUGUCGAAAGUAUAUUCACAAGUUGUGUGCCCCUUGGAAUGGGCACAGCUCACCGACUUGUAGCCUCUUUCUUCAGUUCACCACUCUAGUUGGACUCGCCAAUGAGAUUAAACAUUAAAUACAUCUAAAAUUAUGUCGAUUAAUAUAUGCUCUUUUUAUAUAUUUCCCCUAGCUUAUUAAUAAUUUUAUAGAAUUAUACAAAAAUUGAUAUUUUGUAGCAUAUCAUGUUUGUUUAGUGUUCCCGUGUACUCUAUGUUUGAUAAUUUAAUUAGCUAAUAAGGACAUGAAUAAUAUUAUUUCACUCACUAUGUCAUUGGUCAGAAAAAAAAAAAGGAAAGAAAAACUCAAUUUGAGAUGUUAUACAUUAUUUUUUAUUACUUCCCAUUUCAGAUGAAUAUUUAUCAUAUAUAUUCUUAGUAACUUGUAACCCUUUCUGCUAAGGGUAAAAUGUUUUUGUUACCCCUUAUAUUUAUGAGAUUGUCCUUAUAGUAGUGAUGCUGGCCCCAUUUUCUAAGAGUACAUUUGGAAUUGAGAUUGUGUAGUUGUAGCUUAAAAGUCACAAUAUUAAAAUAUUUGGUCAACACUAGCUAUUGUAGUUUGGAAGCUAUGUUGAUAUGAUUUUUUAUUUGUAUAAUAGAAAAUCUAUUAUAUCUUUAAUAAUUUUGUUAAAAUUAUUAUUUAAACAUUAUAUUUACUAUAUAUUAUUAAUUUUUAUUUUAUAAUUACUGUUUUUUUUCUACAGCAAUUGUAGCUUUUAAGGUUAAUCACCUCAAUCCCAAACAAGAUCUAAAACUGCUAUCUCUAUGUGUAAAUUCCUUAAAAAAAUCUUUUUUAAUUAAAAUUAUUUAAAUAAUUGAAGAUAAAUUAAUUUAUUUUUUAUUUGAAUGAAAAUUCAAUUAAGCAUUUAAAUAAGCUAUUCUCUCUUAACAAAUUUUUUACGCCCAUCUUGUUUCAUAAUUUAUAUUUGUAUUUUAAAUUUUAAUCGAAAGUACGUUUUGAGAAACUUUUAAGAAUUAAGAAUUAUGGAAACAAAAAUUAUGUAAUAAGAAGAAAAUAAUUUAAAUUCUUAAGAUUUGUAUGUAUUUAUAAAUAAAAACUUGCAAGAAAUACUCUUUUCAAGAUAAGAUUUAGUGAGAAAAUUAUUAAAUUUUAAUUUACGAAUUAAUAUUUUAUAAAUUAAACUGGGGGUAUCUUAAGGAAUAUAAUUCAAUUGAAUUCAGAAAGAGUGUUUAUAAGGAUUUUUUAGGGGUGUUAAAAGCUCCACUUAUUUACGCAAGGAAUGGGAAUUAGGGUAUUGGGUAGGAGUGUUCGCGGAUCGGACAUCAAUCCAUAUCCAAUCCAUGAUUUUGUAGAUUAUGAAUUUUCAAUCAAAUCCAAUCUACGGAUUGGUUAAACUCAAUCCAAAUCCAAUUCAUAUAUUUGUGGAUCGGAUGCGGAUUUGACUCAAUUCAUAUCCAAUCCAUCAUUUUGCGGAUUGAUCUGCAGAUUACAAAUUUUUCAUUUGGUCCAAUCCACGAAAUAAUAAAAUGAAAAAAAGUAAUAUAAAAAUAAUUUUACUACCAAUCAAAUUCAAAAUUGAAUAAGAUUUAAAUAAAUAAAUUAUUUAAAUAAAACUAAAAAAAUGCAUUAAAGUUAAAAUACAACACACCGAAAUUAAUUGUUCAAAUGAAGAUAAAAUAAUACAUUUAAAGUUUCAAAAUAUAAUACAUUAAAAUUAAUUGUUGAAUUAAAAUUAUAAUAAUACAUUUAAAGUAUCAAAUUAUGACACAUCAAAAAGAAAAAUAUUUGCUGCCAAUUUGUAUUUUGUACUUUAACUUGAACUAAAUAAACAUAAUUGAAAUGAAUAACAAAUAAAAAAAUUUUAUUGAAUAAAAAAAUUAACAAAUAAAAUAAUUUUGUUUAAUGACUGCUUGCACAGAGAUCAAGAAUCGUUGGAGAAGAUGGCCGAAGGAGAAGUUUAAAGCUAGUAAGAAUCGUUGGGUGUUGGUGGCUCUGUGCUUGCGACAGGGAAGGAUAGGAAGUCAAGGGUUUUUUGUGUGCUUGUUACGGGAAAGUUUAAGAAGUCAAGGUUUUUUGUUUUCUAGUGGCUGCUUUGGUGAAGUGGCAUUUAGGAUAAAUGUUUUGUUUGGUUUAUAAUUUUUUAUUUUGUUUCAGAAUUUUUACAACUUAUCUUUGUAUAUUUUAAUUAUUUAUGUUAUUUUUGAAUAAUGGAUAAGGUAUCUUAUGGUGUUAAUAUAAGUAUGUAAUUACAUUUAACUUACUUAUUUAUUAGUAAUGUCAUAUUUAUAAAUUUUUUAAUUAAAUAAAUAUUUUUUUAAAGAUUGGCGAAUUUUUACGGAUUUACAAAAGUAAAUCCAUAUCCAAUCCACCGCUUGUGGAUUUUUAAAUUUUUAAUCCAAUUCAAUCCACCAAUCCACGGAUAAGAUUUUUACGAACCAAAUUUUUACGGAUCGGACGAAUUGAGCUGAUCGAACCGGAUUCUGAACACCCCUACUAUUGGGUUUCACUUUGUUUUACAUGAAUUUGGGAAAAAUACACGGAUAGACAAGGGAACAGUCAUUGUUAAGCUGUGAAGCUUGUGGAAGAUACCAUUGCCUAUUUGCAGCUUAAACUCCUGGAGCUUUGCUCAUGCUUUCUCUUUCCCACUUUCUCAUGGAACAGAUGUAUACAUCAUGAAAUGAAAACAACAGCACAAAUUGCUGUCUCGUAAGAGAAACAGUCAUACAUAGUAGGUUAGGCCUCAUGUCCAUUAACUUACUAAUGAAUUUUAUGAAAAUUGGCUAUCUCAUUGAAAUUACAUAGGUAUUGGAAACCCUUACUCCAGCUGCAUCAUCUCAUCAGUGAAAGCUGGAUUUUCCAUUUGUUCUUGAGAUUCAUAUUAAGGCAGCAAAUUGCUCAUCCCAUACUAUCUAUGUAAUCCUGUAAAAGGGAAGGGCGUUUAGAUGUGGAAAAACCUUACUCCUGCCGCUGCACCUCAAACAGAUUGCGAUCACACAAGACUUAGUUCAUCAUUAGUAGUAGUUGGAGCUUCCAUUUGUUCUUGAGAUUCAAAGGCAGCAAGCUGCUUCCUCAGUGCUACUAAUUCUUCCCCGGCAUUGCAUAUGUAGGCUGAG